Molecule: ribosomal RNA, 918 nt
Filed under: uncultured bacterium
Lineage: Bacteria
Description: bacterial SSU rRNA
Rfam family: Bacterial small subunit ribosomal RNA
Source: RNAcentral
ACGCUGGCGGCAGGCUUAACACAUGCAAGUCGAACGGUAACAGGAAUUAGCUUGCUAAUUUGCUGACGAGUGGCGGACGGGUGAGUAAUGCUUGGGAAUCUGGCUUAUGGAGGGGGAUAACUACGGGAAACUGUAGCUAAUACCGCGUAAAAUCUUCGGAUUAAAGGGUGGGACUUUCGAGCCACCUGCCAUAAGAUGAGCCCAAGUGGGAUUAGGUAGUUGGUUAGGUAAAGGCUGACCAAGCCGACGAUCUCUAGCUGGUCUGAGAGGAUGACCAGCCACACUGGAACUGAGACACGGUCCAGACUCCUACGGGAGGCAGCAGUGGGGAAUAUUGCACAAUGGGGGGAACCCUGAUGCAGCCAUGCCGCGUGAAUAAAGAAGGCCUUCGGGUUGUAAAGUUCUUUCGGUGACGAGGAAGGUUGAUAGGUUAAUAGCCUAUCAAAUUGACGUUAAUCACAGAAGAAGCACCGGCUAACUCCGUGCCAGCAGCCGCGGUAAUACGGGGGGUGCGAGCGUUAAUCGGAAUAACUGGGCGUAAAGGGCACGCAGGCGGUGACUUAAGUGAGAUGUGAAAGCCCCGAGCUUAACUUGGGAAUUGCAUUUCAUACUGGGUCGCUAGAGUACUUUAGGGAGGGGUAGAAUUCCACGUGCAGCGGUGAAAUGCGUAGAGAUGUGGAGGAAUACCGAAGGCGAAGGCAGCCCCUUGGGAAUGUACUGACGCUCAUGUGCGAAAGCGUGGGGAGCAAACAGGAUUAGAUACCCUGGUAGUCCACGCUGUAAACGAUGUCGAUUUGGGGAUUGGGCUUUGAGCUUGGUGCCCGUAGCUAACGUGAUAAAUCGACCGCCUGGGGAGUACGGCCGCAAGGUUAAAACUCAAAUGAAUUGACGGGGGCCCGCACAAGCGGUGGAGCAUGU